UGUUUUUUUGUUUGUUGCUGAGUUUAUAUAUAUAUAUAUAUAUUUUUUUUUUUUUUUCAAAAAAUAAAUCAAAAUUAAACAACCCACGAGGUAAAAAAACAUUAUGACCACUCACAGCUGAGGUGAAUAACAUUGAUUAUCUCCUAACAAGGCCACGUGUCAAGUUGGUAGAUUAGAUGAUAAACAAACAAUCAGUUCUUGUAGUCCACAUUUUGAAUGCAGGAGAAAUGGGCAGGAGUAAAGGAAUUUGACAAGGGCCAAAUUGUUAUGGCCAGAUGAUUGGGUCAGAGCAUCUCUGAAAUGGCAAGGCUUGUGGGGUGCCCCUGGUCAGCAGUCCUGGUACCUACCGACAUUGGUCCGAGAAGGGACAAACCACAAACCGGCAACAAGCAAGGCUCAUCGAUGUGUGAGGGCAACGAAGGCUAUCCCAAAAGGUCUACUGUGGCACAGGUCAAAGAAAAGUUUAAUGAUGGUUACAGGAGGAAUGUGUCACAACACACAAUUCAUCCCACCCUGCUGCGUAUGGGGCUGCGUAGCCAUAGACCGGACAGAGUGCCCAUGAUGACCCGUCCACCGCCGAAAGUGCCUACACUGGGCAUGCGAGAGUCGAAACUGGACCUUGGAGCAAUGGAAGAAGGUCACCGGGUUCAAUAAGUUCAGUUUUCUUUUACAUUACGUGAACGACCUUAUACGUGUGUGCCGUUUACCUGGGGAAGUAAUGGCAUCAGGAUGCACUGUAGGAAGACGACAAGCCGGUGGAAGGAGUGUGAUGCUCUAGGCAAUGUUCUGCUGGGAAAACCUGGGUCUGGCCAUUAAUGUGGACAUCAAUUUGUCACGUGCCACCUACCUAAACAUCUCUGCAGACUAGGUACAUCCCUAACUGAAGCUCCUGACCAGGAUCUGCAUGAUUGUAUGCACUGCUGCCACGUGAUUGGCUUAGAUAGAUAAUCGCAUGGAUGAUUAUUGGUGCCAGACAGGCUGGUUUGAGUAUUUCUGUAAUGGCUGAUCUCUUGGGAUUUUCACACACAACAGUCUCUGGAAUUUACUCAGAAUGGUGCCAAAAACAAAAAAACACCCAGUGAGGGGCAGUUCUGCGGAUGUAAAUGCCUUGUUGAUGAGAGCGGUCAACAGAGAAUGGCCAGACUGGUUCAAACUGGCAAAGUCUACGUGCUGAAUAGAAUGUUGGGCUGUCCAGCUGUUUGAGAGAUUUGAAUUCAAAUGGGCCUUAAAUUUAGAAGUCUGCGCCACGAUAUCAAGUGAUCAGCUCUGCACUAUCCCAUCACUGGAGUGCUAAUAGCGAGGGAAGCCCGGUUUACCAGAGCCUGCUAGAUCCAGCUCCGGUCCAGCCCGAUGUCCCUCUUCUACUGCUAUGUGUUGCUGAGCGAUGACUACUAACUGCAGCCUGUGCCACUUAGACAGUGAGGGGCGCUUCAAUGAUCACUAUCUGCAUCACUUCAGUCUACUGCGAUGGACUUCACAGAGGAUGAACUGCUGCCAACUCAAGGGAUACUUCAAUGGCCACUGCCUACACCUCUGACUUAGGAUGGACUUAACUGAAAAUGAACUGCCACAAGCUUCCAGCCGGACUGUGAGGCACAACUAACUGACCUCUGCCUUCAUCAUCUUGGUCAUAGGAUGGAUUAUACGCUCUUAAACUGCAAAACAAAUUAAUUGAUGCCAAUUAAAGCCUUCAUCGGCCACAUCUGCACCCAAGAAUUUCACACACCAUUGCACUCGUGUAUAUGGCUGUGUGACAAUAAAGUGAUUUGAUUUGAUUUGAUUUAAAAAUGACACUGCAUCUACAUGCACUUCCACAGUCAAUUCGGGAUGGGCUUCAAAGACUUACAGUUCAAUCAAUAUCCUUUAGUUUUAAACAUGUCCCAACAACAUCCACUCAGUUUGUGUAAUAAAUAAUUUGUGUUACAAAUAUAUAAGUAAUAUUGGCAUUAAAUUCAUACUGUAUUUCCAGAGGGAGACUGGCUCCCCCAGCUUAGCAUGGUUUCUUGGUUUUUUUUUCUCCAUUAACUAACAUCUUAUGUUUUGAGUUCCUUGCCACAGUCGCCUUAGGCUUGCUCACUGGGGGCCUAAAGACAAAUCAUUUUUGAAGCACAAUUUUUAUUUAAAUCGCUCAAUAAGAACUUUUUGAUAUUACUGACAUUUUUUUCUGCUUUGAAACUAUGUGUGUUGUGAAAAGCGCAAUACAAAUACAAAUUACUUGACCUUCAGGGCAUGCACCCACUGACACCUACACAUUUUCGGAACGAUACGCCAAUGCAUUUGUAAAAUAUAGCAUUUUUCUACUAAAUUUAAAAAAGCCGAUGCCCAAUAUGGCCAUCCCCAAAGUGUUGCCAAUAUAUAGCUUCACAACUCAUUUGGCGUACUUGCUGUCAAAUUUGUCGACUCGUUUUACAAAAUGGGUUAGGUUUAUUAAAAAGCUUUUAACAAAGUGUCCCUAGAUGAAAUAUGACACACUUGGUGUGAAUCAGACGUGCGGCCUAGGUGGAAUUUGAAAAAGUAGAUUUUUCAGAAAACUCAAAAUCCAAAAAUCUUGUAUUCAGAAAUUGUAAUCAUGGUAUGCAUUUGACUCGGCCUGAAGGAAUCAGAGAGAAAAAUUAUUUUGUUUCUAGGCCAUUUGGUUCCAAAGUUAUGACAAAAAUAAUGAUCCUCAUGAUGGUGCCGCGGAUGGAUGCCUCGGUGUGGAGCUCCUAAGUUCUUUUGUUGUUUUUGUUUGUUUGUCCUGUGUUUAGUCAUCUUUUUCCAGUCAGUUUUAACAGAGAUGAACUGCUGAACAUUCGACAGCAUGUACCAGACAAUCUUUUCUAGGUUUUUGAAUAUUCAGACGAUUUGCUAGACAUUUUAGUUGGAGGCGCGGCUUUGUUGUUCAGGAGACGCAAGCGAGGGAGACGAGGCGGUGCGCUGGUCAAACUCCGUCGGUCCCUUUCGAAUAGCGCUGCGGAGCAUUCAUCUUGCGAAUCUCCGCUCUCUUCCUAACAAAACAGACGAACUACAUCUCCUCACCCGCACAAACAAGGACUUUUCAACCUCUGCUGCCUUGUGCUUCACAGAAACCUGAGUGAAGCCAUUCCGGACAGCGUGUUACAUCUGCCGGGCUUUCAGCUGUUCAGAGCGGAUCGCAUCACGGAGUUAACGGGGAAAACGAGAGGCGGUAGAACAUGCAUUUAUAUCAAUGAAAGUUGGUGCACAGAUGUAACAAUGUUAAAGAGAAUGUGCUGUCCUAAUUUGGAAGCGCUCUUUCAGCUAUGAAUUCAGACAUCAGAAGACUACAAAGGACAAUUCGGACUGCUGAGAGGAUUAUUGGUUGCCCCCUGCCCCCCAUUCAAGAACUAUACACUUCCAGAAUGAGGAAAAAUGCUGGAAAAAUCACUCUGGACCACACUCACCCUGCCCACUACCUUUUUGAACUGUUGCCUCCUGGCCGACGCUUCAGAGCUCUGAGCACCAGAACCGUCAGGCACAGAAACAGUUUUUUUUCCUCAGGCUAUCCAUCUCAUGAACAGUUAAAUUGUCCCAUUGAGCAAUAACUAUGUGCAAUACACAGUGUAGUCUUUUUUAUAUUUAUCCAACACAUCCAACCUCUUCUGCCAUUUCAUUCCUCUGGGAAAAAACAAAACAAAACAUUUGCACUGUACAUAACAGAUUUGUAAUUGCACUGUACAUAACCGAUUGUAUUAGAUUUGCACUACCCAUAUGUUUGUGUGUAUGUAUGUAUGUGUGUGUAUAAUUAGUUUUAUUUUUAUCUGUCUUGCUGCUGUUUUUAUGUUUUUGUAUUGUUGUACACUGGAAGCUCCUGUCACCAAGACAAAUUUCUUGUAUGUGUAAGCAUACUUGGCAAUAAAGCUGAUUCUGAUUCUGAUAAGUGCAAAUUUAAACUGUUGAUGGAGCUAAAGGGUUUGAGGUAGAGACUCAGAAUUUACUAUCAGGAAUGUUCAGACACUCCCCUAUCCAAAGUGUGCCAAAUUUUGGUCCCUAAUAAUAUUUGUGUAAACUAUAAAUAAUACAAUACCCUACAAGAGCCACCACUUUCAAACAACAUGAGGUAUUCUGACACUACUUGAUAUUGUGAUGCUUUUGCUGGUAUUGUACCAUAAAAAUGUGACUGGGAAACAAAAUGUUUGAGUUAAAAGGGAAACAGACAGAGAACACG
Long non-coding RNA from Myxocyprinus asiaticus (Chinese sucker), 4165 nucleotides. RefSeq lists it as uncharacterized. Lineage: Eukaryota; Metazoa; Chordata; Actinopteri; Cypriniformes; Catostomidae. The record is from RefSeq and is a predicted model, not a curated record. The transcript has 3 exons.